CAGUUUAGGUUUUAAAACCCUAAUGCUGGCUAAAGGGAAAAUUCAGUUUAGGGUUUAAAACCCUAAUGCCGACUAAAGGAAAAAUUCAGUUUAGGGUUUAAAACCCUAAUGCUGACUGCAUGGAAAAGCUCAGUUUAGGGUUUAAAACCCUAAUGCUGGCUAAAGGAAAAAUUCAGUUUAGGGUUUAAAACCCUAAUGCUGACUAAAGGAAAAAAAGUUCAGUUUAGGGUUUAAAACCCUAAUGCUGACUAAAGGAAAAAUUCAGUUUAGGGUUUAAAACCCUAAUGCUGAUUGCAUGGAAAAGCUCAGUUUAGAGUUUAAAACCCUAAUGCUGACUAAAGGAAAAAUUCAGUUUAGGGUUUAAAACCCUAAUGCUGAUUGCAUAGAAAAGCUCAGUUUAGGGUUUAAAACCCUAAUGCUGGCUGAAUGGAAAAAGUUCAGUUUAGGGUUUAAAACCCUAAUGCUGACUAAAAGGGAAAAUUCAGUUU
RNAcentral lists this long non-coding RNA (488 nucleotides) under Nicotiana tabacum (common tobacco). RNAcentral describes it as "long non-coding RNA (NTAB_LNC011271)". The record is from RNAcentral. Lineage: Eukaryota; Viridiplantae; Streptophyta; Magnoliopsida; Solanales; Solanaceae.